GAUCAUGGCUCAGGAUGAACGCUAGCUACAGGCUUAACACAUGCAAGUCGAGGGGCAGCAUCGCGAUAGCUUGCUAUUGCGGAUGGCGACCGGCGCACGGGUGAGUAACGCGUAUCCAACCUUCCCGCAACUGGGAUAACCUUGCGAAAGUAAGACUAAUACCCCAUGGUCUCACGGAUGGCAUCUGAAAUGGAGUAAAGGUUUCCGGCCGGUUAGCGGAUGGGGAUGCGUCCGA
Molecule: ribosomal RNA, 235 nt
Filed under: uncultured bacterium
Lineage: Bacteria
Description: partial 16S ribosomal RNA
Rfam family: Bacterial small subunit ribosomal RNA
Source: RNAcentral